GGUGUUGGAAGUCCCGGUCCCUGCAUUGGAGAAGGCGCUUAGGCAAAUCCGGGCGCGGAAAUGAAGGACGUGGUAGCCUGCGAAAAGCUUCGGGGAGCUGGCAAACGAGCUUUGAUCCGGAGAUGUCCGAAUGGGGAAACCCGGCCCGAAUGGGUCAUCCCUGACUGAAUACAUAGGUCAGGGAAGCGAACGCGGCGAACUGAAACAUCUAAGUAGCUGCAGGAACAGAAAUCAACCGAGAUUCCCAAAGUAGUGGCGAACGAAAUGGGAAGAGCCUUGUACUCUUUAGCAGCAUUGUUAGCAGAACGGGAUGGAAAGCCCGGCCAUAGCAGGUGAUAGCCCUGUAUGCGAAAACAGCGUUGUGGAACUAGGUGUACGACAAGUAGGGCGGGACACGUGAAAUCCUGUCUGAAGAUGGGGGGACCAUCCUCCAAGGCUAAAUACUCGUAAUCGACCGAUAGUGAACCAGUACCGUGAGGGAAAGGCGAAAAGAACCCCGGGAGGGGAGUGAAAUAGAUCCUGAAACCGCAUGCAUACAAACAGUCGGAGCCUGGAAACGGGUGACGGCGUACCUUUUGUAUAAUGGGUCAGCGACUUACAUUCAGUGGCAAGCUUAACCGAUUAGGGAAGGCGUAGCGAAAGCGAGUCCGAAUAGGGCGUUGAGUCGCUGGGUGUAGACCCGAAACCAGAUGAUCUAUCCAUGGCCAGGUUGAAGGUGCGGUAACACGUACUGGAGGACCGAACCCACUAACGUUGAAAAGUUAGGGGAUGAGCUGUGGAUAGGGGUGAAAGGCUAAACAAAUCUGGAAAUAGCUGGUUCUCUCCGAAAACUAUUUAGGUAGUGCCUCGUGUCUCACCUUCGGGGGUAGAGCACUGUCAUGGUUGGGGGGUCUAUUGCUGAUUACCCCGCCAUAGCAAACUCCGAAUACCGAAGAGUGCAAUCACGGGAGACAGACAUCGGGUGCUAACGUCCGGUGUCAAGAGGGAAACAACCCAGACCGCCAGCUAAGGUCCCAAAGAUUGGCUAAGUGGGAAACGAAGUGGGAAGGCUAAAACAGUCAGGAGGUUGGCUUAGAAGCAGCCACCCUUUAAAGAAAGCGUAAUAGCUCACUGAUCGAGUCGUCCUGCGCGGAAGAUGUAACGGGGCUAAGCCAGUCACCGAAGCUGCGGACGCACGCAAGUGCGUGGUAGGAGAGCGUUCUGUAAGCCUGUGAAGGUGUCUUGUAAAGGAUGCUGGAGGUAUCAGAAGUGCGAAUGCUGACAUGAGUAGCGAUAAAGGGGGUGAAAGGCCCCCUCGCCGUAAGCCCAAGGUUUCCUACGCAACGUUCAUCGGCGUAGGGUGAGUCGGCCCCUAAGGCGAGGCAGAGAUGCGUAGCUGAUGGGAAGCAGGUUAAUAUUCCUGCACCGUCGUAUGAUGCGAUGGGGGGACGGAUCGCGGAAGGUUGUCCGGGUGUUGGAAGUCCCGGUCCCUGCAUUGGAGAAGGCGCUUAGGCAAAUCCGGGCGCGGAAUUCAAGGAUGUGGGGCGAGCGGCCUAGUGCUGCGAAGCAAUUGGAAGUGGUUCCAAGAAAAGCCUCUAAGCUUCAGUCAUACGAGACCGUACCGCAAACCGACACAGGUGGGCGAGAUGAGUAUUCUAAGGCGCUUGAGAGAACUCGGGAGAAGGAACUCGGCAAAUUGGUACCGUAACUUCGGGAUAAGGUACGCCCUUGUAGCUUGACUGGCCUGCGCCAGGAGGGUGAAGGGGUUGCAAUAAAAUGGUGGCUGCGACUGUUUAAUAAAAACACAGCACUCUGCAAACACGAAAGUGGACGUAUAGGGUGUGACGCCUGCCCGGUGCCGGAAGAUUAAAUGAUGGGGUGCAAGCUCUUGAUUGAAGUCCCGGUAAACGGCGGCCGUAACUAUAACGGUCCUAAGGUAGCGAAAUUCCUUGUCGGGUAAGUUCCGACCUGCACGAAUGGCGUAACGAUGGCCACACUGUCUCCUCCCGAGACUCAGCGAAGUUGAAGUGUUUGUGAUGAUGCAAUCUCCCCGCGGCUAGACGGAAAGACCCCAUGAACCUUUACUGUAGCUUUGCAUUGGACUUUGAACCGAUCUGUGUAGGAUAGGUGGGAGGCUUUGAAGCGUGGACGCUAGUUCACGUGGAGCCGUCCUUGAAAUACCACCCUGGUUUGUUUGAGGUUCUAACCUUGGCCCGUGAAUCCGGGUCGGGGACAGUGCAUGGUAGGCAGUUUGACUGGGGCGGUCUCCUCCCAAAGUGUAACGGAGGAGUUCGAAGGUACGCUUGGUACGGUCGGACAUCGUACCUAAAGUGCAAUGGCAAAAGCGUGCUUAACUGCGAGACCGACAAGUCGAGCAGGUGCGAAAGCAGGACAUAGUGAUCCGGUGGUUCUGAAUGGAAGGGCCAUCGCUCAACGGAUAAAAGGUACUCUGGGGAUAACAGGCUGAUACCGCCCAAGAGUUCAUAUCGACGGCGGUGUUUGGCACCUCGAUGUCGGCUCAUCUCAUCCUGGGGCUGUAGCCGGUCCCAAGGGUAUGGCUGUUCGCCAUUUAAAGAGGUACGUGAGCUGGGUUUAAAACGUCGUGAGACAGUUUGGUCCCUAUCUGCCGUGGGCGUUGGAAUCUUGACGGGGGCUGCUCCUAGUACGAGAGGACCGGAGUGGACGUACCGCUGGUGUACCUGUUGUCUCGCCAGAGGCAUCGCAGGGUAGCUAUGUACGGAAGAGAUAACCGCUGAAAGCAUCUAAGCUUCAGUCAUACGAGACCGUACCGCAAACCGACACAGGUGGGCGAGAUGAGUAUUCUAAGGCGCUUGAGAGAACUCAGGAGAAGGAACUCGGCAAAUUG
Molecule: ribosomal RNA, 2845 nt
Filed under: Cupriavidus sp. ALBL_226
Lineage: Bacteria; Pseudomonadati; Pseudomonadota; Betaproteobacteria; Burkholderiales; Burkholderiaceae
Description: bacterial LSU rRNA
Rfam family: Bacterial large subunit ribosomal RNA
Source: RNAcentral